Phoenix dactylifera (date palm) is the source of this 2195-nucleotide long non-coding RNA. RefSeq lists it as uncharacterized. The record is from RefSeq and is a predicted model, not a curated record. Lineage: Eukaryota; Viridiplantae; Streptophyta; Magnoliopsida; Arecales; Arecaceae.
AAAUUUUCAGAUUUUGAUUUCCAGAUGACAGCUUUUUUGAUGUGAAAAUUUAAGGUCUAAAAGUUGGCAGUUUCCAUUGUGUACUGUAGCCAGCAAAUUUUUAGUAAAAUAAUUUGAAAAUCGACCUGGUGGGGGCGUCACGCACUGAGCUUUCGUUCGAUGUGGGCGUAACAUGCCAUCAACCCACUUACGAGGAUGGCAUUUUAGUAGCUGGCGAGAAAGGGACUGAGGCGAGAGAGAAAGAGAUCGAGGAACGAAGAAAAGCGACACAUUGGGCAGUUCAGUCGGUUGCUCUUCUAUUUUCCUCUGCUGCUGCCUUCUCUCUCCCUCUCCUUGUCCUGCAAAACAAUUCCAAGAACGAAGAGGAGAGCGAAUAAAGAAAAGAAAGGAAAUGUUAGAUCGAUCGCCUCACGAUUGGAGACGUAGUUACUGGACAGGGAGAUGGCAAUUUGUGGAGGUUGCGUAAUCUAAAGACGAUACAAACAAGGGUCACAGACAGUUCAUUAUACUAUAAAAUGAAAAUCACGAAACCAUCGAAACUGAAGUGAUCCAUCAGCACUAAACUUGAAAUUCAAUAUUCAAUUUUUAGUCUGGUUGGUUGGGCUAGCAAUUAACUUGUUGAUUAUUGGUUAGUUGUUUAUAGAGGGGCACGAGACAUGGAAUUAUCCUGAUGCCACUCUCAUGAAACUGGAUCCAUGGUUUACUUUGUCUAUAUAACCUAAAAUCAGUUCUCCAAUAAGGUUAUAUGGGUUUAUGGAACUUGAUUCAGCAUGGAUGCAACACAAUUUUUUAGACCAGAUCUGACUUUCAGCAGUUUAACUAUUCUGGUCUGGUCCUAUGAAAUAUGGACUUGAUUGAGCUUAAUUUAAAUUUAACUGGAUUUGACUUGAAUUUGAUGAGUGAAAGGGUCCACUAUGAGUCCAAGGAGUGCAUACCCUAAUGCAGCCAAUAUGUUUUCCAAAGUAGUUUUUCAGUAUCAGAAAAAUGGGUUGGGAGUUGUAAUCAUGUUUGCUUGGGUUGAGUUUGGAUACCCCUUCGUAUAACAAGCCAAAGCUGAGCAGCCCAAAGCUCUUGCAAAUUUCAGCUUGUGUGUAGGUCUAUAGUGGAUGGGAUGCAAAUUUUCGUAUUAAUUACCAAAGUUGGGGCAUGUCGGGUUCUUGGUGGGCUGGGAAUAGUGGGCUUUGGUGGUGCAUUAAUUGCAAACAAAGCAAAAGGAGAUGGGGCACCUAGACUUACAUGGAUGGACAAAGUCGCUGAAGGGAUUUGGAGCUCAGACAGGGGGGUUUUGUGGGGCAUAAACAAUAGAUUGGAGGGAGUGGUCAGUACUGUACAGAUGUACCCGAGUACCAUAGGUGUCAGUUGCCCUGAGAAGUCAUGAUCAGCAUAUGACAUGAUUUUUGGUGGUGAAAUCAGCACGUUGCUUUCCAAUAUUUGAAUUUCAACCAUUUGUAUUUCUCAAAUAUGCAUGGGCUGCUUUCCUUCAGUGACUUUGUCCAGCCAUUUGGCCAUGCUUCAGCGACAAGAAGUUCGAUUUGGGGCUCUCUUUUUUGUAAAUUUCCUCCUGACCUUUGCUCAAACUAAGACUAUCCUAAAAGAAAGGAAUGUCAAAUCGGCCAAUCGUCGGAAUGUGUACGAGAUACCAUAAGGGCCCAAUAUCUCAAUAGCACCCUUGUCUAAAGCUUCGAAUGAGACUGAAUAUCCGAAACGCAGGAACGAUCUGACUAGAAAGUCAGAAAUUGAAUAACACGCUGGCGAGAAGGCCUACAGCCGGUACCCCAGCCUCUGCUGACCAAUCUCUUCCGUCCUCAUCAAGAAUAGACAAGUUCAGAAAGGAGGAAACCAGUUGAAAAAUGGAUGGAUCGUUCAGAACGGGUUCAAGUUUAGCCAAGAGACGCGAACGACCAUGCAAAAUUCUUACCGGCCGGAUCCGGCGAGCAGAAUGAUGCACGACAUAGGGUGUAGACCCAGUCGUUACCAAACCAUAGACCGAACAUACUGGCAAGCAAGUAUCCGCUUAUCUCCCUCCACGAAAAGCAGUCUUCUCGAAAGAAAGAACAUCCAUCGGAUUCACUUUCAAUAAAAUCAUCACGUAAUAAAUCAACAAAACCCAAAGUCAUCUCAUGUUCCCCUUCCAGUUUACCCACUACUGUACCCGCAUGAAUAUGAUCUCCACCAGACAUACGUAAUGCUUUAGC